CGCACAUUGCGCCCUGUGGUAUUCCGCGGGGCAUGCCUGUUCGAGCGUCAUUUUACCAAUCAAGCCUCGCUUGGUGUUGGAGCCCGUACUUCUACGGCUCUCAAAUACAAUAGCAGUCUAAACAAGACCCUAAGUAUAGUAAACUUCUUGCUUUUGGGCGAUGUGGCGACUUGCUAAAUGCCAACCUUAUAGGUUGACCUCGGAUCAGGUAGGGAUACCCGCUGAACUUAA
This 231-nucleotide unclassified non-coding RNA is filed under the name Strossmayeria basitricha. RNAcentral's name for it is "partial contains 5.8S ribosomal RNA, internal transcribed spacer 2, and large subunit ribosomal RNA". The record is from RNAcentral. Lineage: Eukaryota; Fungi; Ascomycota; Leotiomycetes; Helotiales.